AGAGUUUGAUCCUGGCUCAGAGUGAACGCUGGCGGCGUGCUUAACACAUGCAAGUCGAACGGAUGAAAUAAGCUUGCUUAUUUCGUUAGUGGCGCACGGGUGAGUAAUGUAUAGCUAACCUGCCCUUUAGUGGGGGACAACAGUUGGAAACGACUGCUAAUACCCCAUAUUCCUUCUUAUCAUAAGGUAAGUUGGGAAAGAUUUAUUGCUAAAGGAUGGGGCUUUAUGGUAUCAGCUAGUUGGUGGGGUAACGGCCUACCAAGGCUAUGACGCCUACCUGGUCUGAGAGGAUGAUCAGGCACACUGGAACUGAGACACGGUCCAGACUCCUACGGGAGGCAGCAGUGGGGAAUAUUGCACAAUGGAGGAAACUCUGAUGCAGCAACGCCGCGUGGAGGAUGACGCAUUUCGGUGUGUAAACUCCUUUUAUAAGGGAAGAUAAUGACGGUACCUAUG
Molecule: ribosomal RNA, 456 nt
Filed under: uncultured bacterium
Lineage: Bacteria
Description: bacterial SSU rRNA
Rfam family: Bacterial small subunit ribosomal RNA
Source: RNAcentral